AUGGUGGUAGCUUAGUGGUAGAGCACUUGUCUUGCACAUGUGAGGCACUGGGUUUGAUUCUCAGCACCACA
Molecule: transfer RNA, 71 nt
Filed under: Ictidomys tridecemlineatus (thirteen-lined ground squirrel)
Lineage: Eukaryota; Metazoa; Chordata; Mammalia; Rodentia; Sciuridae
Description: Spermophilus tridecemlineatus (thirteen-lined ground squirrel) tRNA
Rfam family: tRNA
About the family: Transfer RNA (tRNA) molecules are approximately 80 nucleotides in length. Their secondary structure includes four short double-helical elements and three loops (D, anti-codon, and T loops).
Source: Rfam by way of RNAcentral